RNAcentral lists this ribosomal RNA (344 nucleotides) under uncultured eukaryote. RNAcentral's name for it is "SSU rRNA". It matches the Rfam family "Eukaryotic small subunit ribosomal RNA", at positions 594 to 945 of the family's 1831-position model. The record is from RNAcentral.
AUAGCGUAUAUUAAAGUUGUUGCAGUUAAAAAGCUCGUAGUUGAACCUUGGGCCUGGCUGGCAGGUCCGCCUCACCGCGUGUACUUGUCCGGCCGGGCCUUCCUUCUGGAGAACCUCAUGCCCUUCACUGGGCGUGUUGGGGACCAGAACUUUUACUUUGAAAAAAUUAGAGUGUUCAAAGCAGGCCUUUGCUCGAAUACGUUAGCAUGGAAUAAUAAAAUAGGACGUGCGGUCCUAUUUUGUUGGUUUCUAGGACCGCCGUAAUGAUUAAUAGGGACAGUCGGGGGCAUCAGUAUUCAAUUGUCAGAGGUGAAAUUCUUGGAUUUAUUGAAGACUAACUACUG